Molecule: ribosomal RNA, 253 nt
Filed under: uncultured bacterium
Lineage: Bacteria
Description: partial 16S ribosomal RNA
Rfam family: Bacterial small subunit ribosomal RNA
Source: RNAcentral
UACAGAGGGGGCAAGCGUUGUUCGGAAUUACUGGGCGUAAAGGGCGCGUAGGCGGCCCGCUAAGUCGAACGUGAAAUCCCCGAGCUCAACUCGGGAACUGCGUCCGAUACUGGUGGGCUUGAAUCCGGGAGAGGGAUGCGGAAUUCCAGGUGUAGCGGUGAAAUGCGUAGAUAUCUGGAGGAACACCGGUGGCGAAGGCGGCAUCCUGGACCGGCACUGACACUGAGGCACGAAAGCGUGGGGAGCAAACAGG